RNAcentral lists this ribosomal RNA (460 nucleotides) under uncultured bacterium. RNAcentral describes it as "partial 16S ribosomal RNA". It matches the Rfam family "Bacterial small subunit ribosomal RNA", at positions 338 to 795 of the family's 1533-position model. The record is from RNAcentral.
CCUACGUGAGGCAGCAGUGAGGAAUAUUGGUCAAUGGGCUUACGCCUGAACCAGCCAAGUAGCGUGAAGGAUGACUGCCCUACGGGUUGUAAACUUCUUUUAUAAGGGAAUAACGCGAGCUACGUGUGGCUUUUUGUAUGUACCCUAUGAAUAAGGCACGGCUAACGCCGUUCCAGCAGCCGGGGUAAUACCGAAGGUCCGAGAGUUAUUCGGAUUUUUUGGGUUUAAAGGGAGCGUAGGUCGGAGGGUAAGUUAGUUGUGAAAGUUGCGGGCUCAACCCUAACAUUGCAGUGGAGACUGGCAGGCUUGAGUACGCGUGAGGUAGGCGGAAUGCGUGGUGUAGCGGUGAAAUGCUUAGAUAUCACGAAGAACUCCGAUUGCGAAGGCAGCUUACUGAAGUGCAACUGACGCUGAUGCUCGAAAGCGUGGGUAUCGAACAGGAUUAGAUACCCGGGUAGUC